GGGCCGGUAACUCAGUGGUAGAGGUUCGUACGCCCACACGCUUUUCCCAUGAUCUCAUCCUAACUUCUCUUCAGUGUAGGAUUGCAGCCUUCCGUAGCCGUUUAUCCCGAAGUCACCGGUUCGACUCCGGUUCGGCCCU
Molecule: non-coding RNA, 139 nt
Organism: Parastagonospora nodorum SN15
Lineage: Eukaryota; Fungi; Ascomycota; Dothideomycetes; Pleosporales; Phaeosphaeriaceae
Source: the annotation of a RefSeq genome assembly